RNAcentral lists this ribosomal RNA (477 nucleotides) under uncultured bacterium. RNAcentral describes it as "partial 16S ribosomal RNA". It matches the Rfam family "Bacterial small subunit ribosomal RNA", at positions 28 to 507 of the family's 1533-position model. The record is from RNAcentral.
GAUGAACGCUGGCGGCGUGCCUAACACACGCAAGUCGAACGAAGCACCUUACCUGAUUCUUCGCCUGCGAGUUUGGUGGCUGAGUGGCGGACGGGUGAGUAACGCGUGUGUAACCUGCGCUGUACAUGGGGAUAACAGCUGGAAACGGCUGCUAAUACUGCAUAAGCGCACGUGGAUACAUCUCCUUGUGUGAAAAACUCCGUUGGUACAGGAUGGGCCCGCAUCUGAUUAGCGGGUUGGCAGGGUAACGGCCUCCCAAGGCAACGACCAGUAGCCGGUCUGUGAGAAUGGACGCCGACAUUGGAGCUGGGCCACGGUCCGAACUCCUACGGGAGGCGGCAGUGGGGAAUAUUGCACAGUGGCGGAAGCCCUGAUGCAGCAAGGCCGCGUGAGUUAAGAAGUUUUUCAGUAUGUAAAGCUCUAUCAGCAGGGAAGAUAAUGACGGUACCUGACUAAAAAGCUCCGGCUAAAUACGUG